This 253-nucleotide ribosomal RNA is filed under the name uncultured bacterium. RNAcentral describes it as "partial 16S ribosomal RNA". It matches the Rfam family "Bacterial small subunit ribosomal RNA", at positions 524 to 776 of the family's 1533-position model. The record is from RNAcentral.
UACGGAGGAUCCAAGCGUUAUCCGGAAUCAUUGGGUUUAAAGGGUCCGUAGGUGGACGGUUAAGUCAGAGGUGAAAUCCUGCAGCUCAACUGUAGAAUUGCCUUUGAUACUGGUCGUCUUGAGUCAUUGUGAAGUGGUUGGAAUAUGUAGUGUAGCGGUGAAAUGCAUAGAUAUUACAUAGAACACCGAUUGCGAAGGCAGAUCACUAACAAUGUACUGACACUGAUGGACGAAAGCGUGGGGAGCGAACAGG